AUGGGGAAGGGAAUGUCUGCCAAGAGUUACACUGACACGUGUGUGUGGGGCAGUAGUCUGAUGCAACUCCAUUUUAUGAAAUGUCAGAAUGUAAGACAUUUAUGCAAGAUGUAUUCACACAUUCUUCUAAAAUCCUGCUACAGAGCCGCCCAAAAGUGCAUUUGAAUAGAAUGAGGAAUGAGGAUUUUAAAUCCCCCGAACACAGGCUUCUGGGCAUUUCUCAGGCCUUCAAGUCAUGUGUAUGACCUUUAUUGAAAUUGGUUUUCAUUUUCUCGUUGGAACAGGGCACCGUAGCAGGAGUGGCGUUGAGCCGCCGUAAGAGCCAGAGUUCAGUUUAGCGCUAUGAGUAUUUAAGGUCGAGCUUUGACACCUCGGUUAUUACGACUCCCGGGCACACAGAGCCGCACUAGAAAACGAGGCGCAGAUCUGCCUCUGCCGCCUGUGACACCCUGGUGAGAAACACUACACAUAGAGGUGUGAUGAAAUCCAGGCAUCAACAGCCCCCUGUUAAUAUUGCUCAUUCUUUUUUUCUUUUUUUUUCUUUCUUUUUUACGUUCACGACAUUCUGCCGCUGACCUUUUAAGACCCGCACAAGGUCAGGUGACAGCUUUUCCUCACAUUCAGCUGUGUGGGAAUAAAGCCUUUCUCCUCCACAUGUCCUCCUACGGUAAAAGUAUGUGCAGGGAAUUGGCGAGUAACUACCCCCUUCUUUCCAAGUUGGGAUAAACUACGUAGCUUUGGGGAGUCUCUCAGAAUUUCAUCACACCUCGCUGCACAAGUUUGACCCACCUCGGAAUGGAAAAGUACUGUUUCAUCACCUCCGUGUGAGUGAGUGAUUGUUCCUGCGGGGCCGAGGAGCCCUUUUCAGUGGGAAACCCUCGGGUGAAACGGGGUCUGAAAAGGAAGAAAUAAAAGAGCUUGGUUAGGACACUGUGCCCUUCCAUAUUAAACUGUCUUUCCACUUUUCUACGAUACCCCAAUUUUCAUGAACCUCACUGUUGA
Clupea harengus (Atlantic herring) is the source of this 1002-nucleotide long non-coding RNA. The record is from Ensembl. Lineage: Eukaryota; Metazoa; Chordata; Actinopteri; Clupeiformes; Clupeidae.